ACUUGAAUUGAAGAGUUUGAUCAUGGCUCAGAUUGAACGCUGGCGGCAGGCUUAACACAUGCAAGUCGAACGGUAGCAGGAGGAAGCUUGCUUUCUUGCUGACGAGUGGCGGACGGGUGAGUAAUGCUUGGGAAUCUGGCUUAUGGAGGGGGAUAACGAUGGGAAACUGUCGCUAAUACCGCGUAGUGUCGAGAGACGAAAGGGUGGGACUUUUAGCCACCUGCCAUGAGAUGAGCCCAAGUGGGAUUAGGUAGUUGGUGGGGUAAAGGCCUACCAAGCCUGCGAUCUCUAGCUGGUCUGAG
Molecule: ribosomal RNA, 302 nt
Filed under: Haemophilus influenzae
Lineage: Bacteria; Pseudomonadati; Pseudomonadota; Gammaproteobacteria; Pasteurellales; Pasteurellaceae
Description: partial 16S ribosomal RNA
Rfam family: Bacterial small subunit ribosomal RNA
Source: RNAcentral